This 160-nucleotide ribosomal RNA is filed under the name uncultured Ectothiorhodospiraceae bacterium. RNAcentral's name for it is "partial 16S ribosomal RNA". It matches the Rfam family "Bacterial small subunit ribosomal RNA", at positions 355 to 507 of the family's 1533-position model. Lineage: Bacteria; Pseudomonadati; Pseudomonadota; Gammaproteobacteria; Chromatiales; Ectothiorhodospiraceae. The record is from RNAcentral.
UGGGGAAUAUUGGACAAUGGGGGCAACCCUGAUCCAGCAAUGCCGCGUGUGUGAAGAAGGCCUGCGGGUUGUAAAGCACUUUCAAUUGGGAAGAAAAGCUCAGGGAUAAUACCCCUGGGUCUUGACGUUACCUUUAGAAGAAGCACCGGCUAACUCCGUG